This is a long non-coding RNA of Mus musculus (house mouse), 492 nucleotides long. RefSeq annotates it as predicted gene, 40698. The record is from RefSeq and is a predicted model, not a curated record. Lineage: Eukaryota; Metazoa; Chordata; Mammalia; Rodentia; Muridae. The transcript has 2 exons.
GACACAGGGAAGCACUCGCAGCCCGAACCCUAAACAACGGUUUUGUACCCGGUUCCUGCUCUGGUUCGCAAGGCAUCCUGGGAAAAGCCACUGUGCGGCCGAGAGGCUCUGCCACCAAAUUCUUCCCAGGUGCUAAAGACUACUUCCCACUGGUGGCGCACGCCUUUGAUCCCAGCACUUGGGAGGCAGAGGCAAGCAGGCGGAUUUCUGAGUUCGAGUCCAGCCUGGUCCACAGAGUAAGUUCCAGGACAGCCAGGGAUACACAGAGAAGCCCUCGAAACAACAACGUCAACAACAAACCUGGGGCUGUGAGGCUGGUGGGACUAAUGUGGGACAACUGAAGAAGGGUCGUUAAUGACGUCUUUAUGAGCUAUAGCGGAUCAUGGAGCAGAUUUUGAAACCAGUAACAUCUCUUCCGUCUUCAUUUUCGGUUUAUAUUUGAUCUUAGUGGAUGUUCGCAUUAUUUUUAAUUAAAAUGUGAUAUCAAACUGG